Molecule: long non-coding RNA, 2096 nt
Organism: Gopherus evgoodei (Goodes thornscrub tortoise)
Lineage: Eukaryota; Metazoa; Chordata; Testudines; Testudinidae
Source: Ensembl
CUUAAAGGCACAGACCUGCCAAUUCCUACAUUGUCAAAGCUUAGACACCGCAGAUCCUCUCUGUCUCACACAAGUGUUGCAGGGCUGUUACUGCUCCAGCCAGGAGGCUGAAUGCGGUGAAAUAUUGUACAGACCCUCCCUGCCUCCCUCCCUCAAACUCCGCCUCUCACGUUUUGACUUUGUAAAAGUGUCUCUGUCAGUUUCUAUGUCUGUAUGAAAUCACUGCAGCUUCUUUCUCUUACACAACGUGCUGAGUUGCUAACUCCCUCCCAGAGCCCACGUGUCUGCACCCCCUGCUAUACCCCAGGUCAGAGCCUGCCCCCCUCACUCAAACACCCAGCCCAGUACAAGGGCACUGUUUACAACCGGGGAGCUGCCAGACGGGCACUGUCCAGCCCAGCCCUGUGCUGCCAUCCUGCUUCUUCCCCUUCGGUGUGGGCCCAUGCUGCACCAUGCUACCCCCCUGUCCAACACCCCUCUGGCUCCCUACGCCCAGUGCCACACCAACCAGAGACCCCUCCACACACUCCUGCCCAGCACCCCUCUGACUCCCAACGCCCAGUGCCACACCAUCCAGAGACCCCCACACACACACCCCUGCCCAGCACCCCUCUGGUUCCCUACACCCAGUGCCACACCACCUAGAGACCCCCCACACACACUCCUGCCCAGCACCCCUCUGACUCCCUACGCCCAGUGCCACACUACCCAGAGACCCCCCCACAGCCCUGCCCAGCACCUCUCUGGCUCCCUACGCCAUUGCCACACCACCCAGAGACCCCCCCACACUCCCGCCCAGCAUCCCUCUGACUACCUACACCCAGUGCCACUCCACCCAGAGACCCCCACACACACACCCCUGCCCAGCACCCCUCUGACUACCUACACCCAGUGCCACACCACCCAGAGACCCCCCUACACACACCCCUGCCCAGCACCCCUCUGGCUCCCUACGCCCAGUGCCAUACCACCCAGAGACCCCCCCACACACACCCCUGCCCAGCACCCCUCUGACUCCCAACGCCCAGUGCCACACCAUCCAGAGACCCCCCCACACACACCCCUGCCAGGCACCCCUCUGGUUCCCUACACCCAGUGCCACACCACCCAGAGACCCCCACACACACACCCCUGCCCAGCACCCCUCUGGUUCCCUACACCCAGUGCCACACCACCCAGAGACCCCCACACACACACCCCUGCCCAGCACCCCUCUGACUCCCUACACCCAGUACCACACCACCCAGAGACCCCCCCACACACACCCCUGCCCAGCACCCCUCUGACUCCCAAUGCCCAGUGCCACACCAUCCAGAGACCCCCACACACACACCCCUGCCCAGCACCCCUCUGGUUCCCUACACCCAGUGCCACACCACCCAGAGACCCCCCCACACACACCCCUGCCCAGCACCCCUCUGACUCCCAAUGCCCAGUGCCACACCAUCCAGAGACCCCCACACACACACCCCUGCCCAGCACCCCUCUGACUCCCAACGCCCAGUGCCACACCAUCCAGAGACCCCCACACACACACCCCUGCCCAGCACCCCUCUGGUUCCCUACACCCAGUGCCACACCACCUACAGACCCCCCCACACACACUCCUGCCCAGCACCCCUCUGGCUCCCUACGCCCAGUGCCACACUACCCAGAGACCCCCCCACAGCCCUGCCCAGCACCUCUCUGGCUCCCUACGCCUAGUGCCACACCACCCAGAGACCCCUCCACACACACCUGCCCAGCACCCCUCUGGCUCCCUACGCCCAGUACCACACCACCCAGAGACCCCCCCACACUCCUGCCCAGCACCCCUCUGGCUCCCUACGCCCAGUGCCACUCCACCCAGAGACCCCCCCACACUCCUGCCCAGCACCCCUCUGGUUCCCUACACCCAGUGCCACACCACCCAGAGACCCCCACACACACACCCCUGCCCAGCACCCCUCUGGUUCCCUACGCCCAGUGCCACACCACCCAGAGACCUCCACAAACCCCCGUGCCCAGUGCCCUCCCAGACCACUUCCCCACCUACUCGGAACCCCCCAACAGAUCCUCUUACUGCCCAGUCACCCCCUAGCUGAAGACCCCCCACA